AACAACUUCACCAGGAGAAUCAUUUCUAUAGUAUUUGUCUCUUGCUUUGGUUCCCAAAAGAGCCAUCGAAUCCACCCUGGUUGAUGAUUGCAUAUCCUCGACAUCCAAGAGUGAAUUUUCUGGUCCUCUCGCACCGUCCGCAAGGAUGGCGGCAGAAGCCUCGUGCAUCUGCUGUAUAGAGAGUUGUUUCUUCUCUUGAUGAUCUCGACCCUGUCGGCGGUCUUGCCUUCGGGCGCGCUGGCAGGGUGGAUGUCGAUGGACGUCUGACAGGC
RNAcentral lists this small nucleolar RNA (272 nucleotides) under Trichoderma gamsii. Its description in RNAcentral is "Fungal small nucleolar RNA U3". It matches the Rfam family "Fungal small nucleolar RNA U3". From Rfam's summary of the family: Small nucleolar RNAs (snoRNAs) are involved in the processing and modification of rRNA in the nucleolus. There are two main classes of snoRNAs: the box C/D class, and the box H/ACA class. Lineage: Eukaryota; Fungi; Ascomycota; Sordariomycetes; Hypocreales; Hypocreaceae. The record is from Rfam by way of RNAcentral.